This 283-nucleotide unclassified non-coding RNA is filed under the name plant metagenome. RNAcentral describes it as "partial contains small subunit ribosomal RNA, internal transcribed spacer 1, and 5.8S ribosomal RNA". The stretch from base 235 to 283 matches the Rfam family "5.8S ribosomal RNA", at positions 1 to 49 of the family's 154-position model. The record is from RNAcentral.
UUUCCGCAGGUGAACCUGCGGAAGGAUCAUUAUUGUAUAACCGAGGUGCGAGGGCUGUCGCUGACCCGAAAGGUCGUGCACGCCCGAGUGCCCUCACACACAUCCAUCUCACCCCUAUGUGCACCACCGCGUGGGUCCCCCUUUGGCUUGUUCGGAGGGGGGCUUACGUUUUCACACAAACUUUGUAUGCAGUGUAGAAUGUAUUUUUUGUUUUUGCGAUCACGCAAUCAAUACAACUUUCAACAACGGAUCUCUUGGCUCUCCCAUCGAUGAAGAACGCAGC